This is a long non-coding RNA of Leptopilina boulardi, 1137 nucleotides long. RefSeq lists it as uncharacterized. NCBI's taxonomy places the organism in Eukaryota, Metazoa, Arthropoda, Insecta, Hymenoptera, Figitidae. The record is from RefSeq and is a predicted model, not a curated record. The transcript has 7 exons.
AAAAAUGGAUCAAAAAAUCCGUUUUAAUAUUAAUAAUUUUUUAAAAAAAGUUUUCUAAAUUUCCCCUUUUUUAAAAUAUUUUAAUUUUUUACAUAUCAUUUCUCAAAUCAUAAAAAUUUCUUAAUAAUACUAACAGAAAUGAUCUUUUAUUUGAUUCACAACUAUUAAAAUUAAUUCCUCAGGAUUAAUUGGCGAUUCCUUGGGCAUAUGCCUUAACGAGGUCAUCAGCUGAAAAUUACAGUGCCAUCAUUGGAGAAUUGAGGAGAGUUGUGCCGGGUCUCACGAUGAACACUGUCAUCACCAAUUUUGGAGAUUUUUUGCGUCGCAGUAUCCAACAACAUUUUCCCGCGGUUUCUGGGAGCGGAAGCCACUUUUACUAUCAAAAGCAAGUACAGCGAAUGGCGAUUCGACACGGAGUUCAUACAUUUUUAAUCGAAGACGAAAAUGAAAUCAAAAGAUUUUUACCGUCUGUUUUUUGAUUGCCUCUUCUGCCUGCUGGGAUCAUUGAACAAACGUUUCGAGAAAUGGUUCGACAAUUGAGUGAAAAUUCGGCAACUAUUUUAAAUCAAUUCAUUGCAGAUUUCUCUGCGUCUUGGUUGAAACAAGUUACGGCUGAAUUCUUCGCUGUCAACGGAAACCUCGAUAUGAUGACGGACUUGUUUCAAAUUUUCAGCAAUCAACUUCACGUAAGAGUGGGAACAUUUCCCCUAACGUGGAACUUUACAGAUGGACUACUAGCGCUCCAAAGCCGAUCAUUUAGAGACAAUGUCAGGCUAAAUAGCGGACAUAGAACGGGCAUUAAUGCAACCAGAGUGUUAAACAGAAGUACCUCCGCAAGACUGAGAAGGAUGUGAAAUCUUUUGGAAUCGGGUAAUCUGACGAAAGAGGAAUUUUUGACACAAUGCAGUUACGUGGUGGCUGAGCCGAGUACUGAAUAUUUUUGCGUUUAUCUAACGUUUAUCUACGUUGCGCUUAUUUCAAGCUGUUGAAGUACCUGUUUUCCGUGAUUUCCCUGAUGUUGCUGAACAAGGUCCAGAGGUCCAACAAGGUUUGGCGGACGACCGUGAUCUUCCGAUUGAACAAGAGCGAGAUCCUGCAGAAGCACCUACUUUUUGUGAUUUUCGAAAUGUUGCCAUG